RNAcentral lists this ribosomal RNA (245 nucleotides) under uncultured bacterium. Its description in RNAcentral is "partial 16S ribosomal RNA". It matches the Rfam family "Bacterial small subunit ribosomal RNA", at positions 524 to 768 of the family's 1533-position model. The record is from RNAcentral.
UACGUAGGGUCCAAGCGUUGUUCGGAAUCACUGGGCGUAAAGGGAGCGUAGGCGGAGCCGUAAGUUAGAAGUUUAAUACCCGGGCUUAACCCGGGAUCUGCUUCUAAUACUGCGGCCCUUGAGUAUGGAAGAGGGAGAUGGAAUUCCAGGUGUAGCGGUGGAAUGCGUAGAUAUCUGGAAGAACACCAGCAGCGAAGGCGGUCUCCUGGUCCAAUACUGACGCUGAGGCUCGAAAGUUAGGGGAG